GUUAGGGUUAAAAUCACUGUCCAAAACCUUUGCUUGUAGGAACUCUUUUCCAACCUUUUGGAGUUAGUUAGACCAAAAAAAAAAAAAAAAUGAAAAAAAAAUAUUUGGGGUGUUCGGGCUUCCUGAAGUAAUACCCGGGUAUUAGAUUUUAAGGCUAGGGUAAGGUUUAAGUUUUUUGGCGUUAGGGUUAAAAUCACUGUCCAAAACCUUUGUAGGAACUCUUUUCCAACCUUUUGGAGUUAGUUAGACCAAAAAAUAUGAAAAAAGAAAAAAAUAUUAUUGGGGGUUUUCGGGCUUCCUGAAGGUAAUACCCAGGUAUUAGGUUUUGGGACUGGGGAAAGGUUUAAGGUUUUUGGCGUUAGGGUUAAAAUCACUGUCCAAAACCUUUGUAGGAACUCUUUUCCAACCUUUUGGAGUUAGUUUGACCAAAAAAAAAAAGAAAAAUGAAAAAAAAAUAUUUGGGGAGUUCAGGCUUCCUAAAAGUAAUACCCAGGUAUUAGGUUUUGUGGCUAGGGUAAGGUUUAAGUUUUUUGGCGUUAGGGUUAAAAUCACUGUCCAAAACCUUUGUAGGAACACUUUUCCAACCUUUUGGAAUUAGAUAAAACAAAAAAAUAUGAAAAAUGAAAAAAUAUAUAUUUGGGGUUUUCGGGCUUCCUGAAUGUAAUACCCGGGUAUUAGAUUUUGGGACUGGGGAAAGGUUUAAGGUUUUUGGCGUUAGGGUUAAAAUCACUGUCCAAAACCUUUGUAGGAACUCUUUUCCAACCUUUUGGAGUUAGUUAGACCAAAAAAAAAAUGAAAAAUGAAAAAAAAAUAUUUGGGGUUUUCGGGCUUCCUGAAAGUAAUACCCGGGUAUUAGUUUAUGGGGCUAUGGUAAGGUUUAAGGUUUUUGGCGUUAGGGUUAAAAUCACUGUCCAAAACCUUUGUAGGAACUCUUUUCCAACCUUUUGGAGUUAGUUAGACCAAAAAAAAAAAGAAAAAUGAAAAAAAAAUAUUUGGGGUUUUCGGGCUUCCUGAAUGUAAUACCCGGGUAUUAGAUUUUAAGGCUAGGGUAAGGUUUAAGUUUUUUGGCGUUAGGGUUAAAAUCACUGUCCAAAACCUUUGUAGGAACUCUUUUCCAACCUUUUGGAGUUAGUUAGACCAAAAAAAAUGAAAAAUGAAAAAAAAAUAUUUGGGGUUUUCGGGCUUCCUGAAAGUAAUACCCGGGUAUUAGGUUUUGGGGCUAUGGUAAGGUUUAAGUUUUUUGGCGUUAGGGUUAAAAUCACUGUCCAAAACCUUUGUAGGAACUCUUUUCCAACCUUUUGGAGUUAGUUAGACCAAAAAAUAUGAAAAAAGAAAAAAAUAUUAUUGGGGGUUUUCGGGCUUCCUGAAGGUAAUACCCAGGUAUUAGAUUUUGGUACUGGGGAAAGGUUUAAGGUUUUUGGCGUUAGGGUUAAAAUCACUGUCCAAAACCUUUGUAGGAACUCUUUUCCAACCUUUUGGAGUUAGUUAGACCAAAAAAAAAAGUAAAAUGAAAAAAAAAUAUUUGGGGUGUUCGGGCUUCCUAAAAGUAAUACCUGGGUAUUAGGUUAUAGGGCUAUGGUAAGUUUUAAGGUUUUUGGCGUUAGGGUUAAAAUCACUGUCCAAAACCUUUGUAGGAACUCUUUUCCAACCUUUUGGAGUUAGUUAGACCAAAAAAAAUGAAAAAUGAAAAAAAUAUAUAUUUGGGGUUUCGGGCUUCCUGAAGUAAUACCCGGGUAUUAGGUUUUGGGGCUAUGGUAAGGUUUAAGUUUUUUGGCGUUAGGGUUAAAAUCACUGUCCAAAACCUUUGUAGGAACUCUUUUCCAACCUUUUGGAGUUAGUUAGACCAAAAAAAAAAAAAAAUGAAAAAAAAAUAUUUGGGGUGUUCAGGCUUCCUAAAAGUAAUACCCAGGUAUUAGGUUAUGGGGCUAUGGUAAGGUUUAAGUUUUUUGGCGUUAGGGUUAAAAUCACUUUCCAAAACCUUUGUAGGAACUCUUUUCCAACCUUUUGGAGUUAGUUAGACCAAAAAAUAUGAAAAAAGAAAAAAAUAUUAUUGGGGGUUUUCGGGCUUCCUGAAGGUAAUACCCAGGUAUUAGGUUUUGGGACUGGGGAAAGGUUUAAGGUUUUUGGCGUUAGGGUUAAAAUCACUGUCCAAAACCUUUGUAGGAACUCUUUUCCAAACUUUUGGAGUUAGACCAAAAAAAAAGAAAAAUGAAAAAACAAUAUUUGGGGAGUUCAGGCUUCCUAAAAGUAAUACCCGGGUAUUAGGUUUUGUGGCAAGGGUAAGGUUUAAGUUUUUUGGCGUUUGGGUUAAAAUCACUGUCCAAAACCUUUGUAGGAACUCUUUUCCAACCUUUUGGAGUUAGUUAGAACAAAAAAAUAUGAAAAAUGAAAAAAUAUAUAUUUGGGGUUUUCGGGCUUCCUGAAUGUAAUACCCGGGUAUUAGUUUUUGGGACUGGGGAAAGGUUUAAGUUUUUUGGCGUUAGGGUUAAAAUCACUGUCCAAAACCUUUGUAGGAACUCUUUUCCAACCUUUUGGAGUUAGUUAGACCAAAAAAAAAAGAAAAAUGAAAAAAAAAUAUUUGGGGUGUUCAGGCUUCCUAAAAGUAAUACCUGGGUAUUAGGUUAUAGGGCUAUGGUAAGGUUUAAGGUUUUUGGCGUUAGGGUUAAAAUCACUGUCCAAAACCUUUGUAGGAACUCUUUUCCAACCUUUUGGAGUAGGUUACACCAACAAAAAUGUAAAAUGAAAAAAAUAUAUAUUUGGGGUGUUCGGGCUUCCUGAAUGUAAUACCCGGGUAUUAGAUUUUAAGGCUAUGGUAAGGUUUAAGUUUUUUGGCGUUAGGGUUAAAAUCACUGUCCAAAACCUUUGUAGGAACUCUUUUCCAACCUUUUGGAGUUAGUUAGACCAAAAAAAAAAAAAAAAAAAAAAAAAAAAAUAUUUGGGGUUUUCAGGCUUCCUAAAAGUAAUACCCGGGUAUUAGGUUAUGGGGCUAUGGUAAGGUUUAAGUUUUUUGGCGUUAGGGUUAAAAUCACUGUCCAAAACCUUUGUAGGAACUCUUUUCCAACCUUUUGGAGUUAGUUAGACCAAAAAAUAUGAAAAAAGAAAAAAAUAUUAUUGGGGGUUUUCGGGCUUCCUGAAGGUAAUACCCAGGUAUUAGGUUUUGGGACUGGGGAAAGGUUUAAGUUUUUUGGCGUUAGGGUUAAAAUCACUGUCCAAAACCUUUGUAGGAACUCUUUUCCAACCUUUUGGAGUUAGUUUGACCAAAAAAAAAAGAAAAAUGAAAAAAAAUAUAUUUGGGGUUUCGGGCUUCCUGAAAGUAAUACCCGGGUAUUAGGUUUUGGGGCUAGGGUAAGGUUUAAGUUUUUUGGCGUUAGGGUUAAAAUCACUGUCCAAAACCUUUGUAGGAACUCUUUUCCAACCUUUUGGAGUUAGUUAGACCAAAAAAAUAUGAAAAAUGAAAAAAUAUAUAUUUGGGGUUUUUGGGCUUCCUGAAUGUAAUACCCGGGUAUUAGAUUUUGGGGCUAUGGUAAGGUUUAAGUUUUUUGGCGUUAGGGUUAAAAUCACUGUCCAAAACCUUUGUAGGAACUCUUUUCCAACCUUUUGGAGUUAGUUAGACCAAAAAAAAAAAAAUGAAAAAUGAAAAAAUAUAUUUGGGGUUUUCGGGCUCCUGAAGUAAUACCCGGGUAUUAGGUUUUGGGGCUAUGGUAAGGUUUAAGUUUUUUGGCGUUAGGGUUAAAAUCACUGUCCAAAACCUUUGUAGGAACUCUUUUCCAACCUUUUGGAGUUAGUUAGACCAAAAAAAUGAAAAAUGAAAAAACAAUAUUUGGGGUUUUCUGGGUUCCUGAAUGUAAUACCCGGGUAUUAGAUUUUAAGGCUAGGGUAAGGUUUAAGUUUUUUGGCGUUAGGGUUAAAAUCACUGUCCAAAACCUUUGUAGGAACUCUUUUCCAACCUUUUGGAGUUAGUUAGACCAAAAAAAAAUGAAAAAUGAAAAAACAAUAUUUGGGGUUUUCGGGGUUCCUGAAUGUAAUACCCGGGUAUUAGAUUUUAAGGCUAGGGUAAGGUUUAAGUUUUUUGGCGUUAGGGUUAAAAUCACUGUCCAAAACCUUUGUAGGAACUCUUUUCCAACCUUUUGGAGUUAGUUACACCAAAAAGUAUGAAAAAAGGAAAAAAAUAUUAUUGGGGGUUUUCGGGCUUCCUAAAAGUAAUACCCGGGUAUUAGGUUAUGGGGCUAUGGUAAGGUUUAAGUUUUUUGGCGUUAGGGUUAAAAUCACUGUCCAAAACCUUUGUAGGAACUCUUUUCCAACCUUUUGGAGUUGGUUACACCAACAAAAAUGUAAAAUGAAGAAAAAAAUAUUUGGGGUGUUCAGGCUUCCUGAAGGUAAUACCCGGGUAUUAGAUUUCAAGGCUAGGGUAAGGUUUAAGUUUUUUGGCGUUAGGGUUAAAAUCACUGUCCAAAACCUUUGUAGGAACUCUUUUCCAACCUUUUGGAGUUAGUUAGACCAAAAAAUAUGAAAAAAGAAAAAAAUAUUAUUGGGGGUUUUCGGGCUCCCUGAAAGUAAUACCCGGGUAUUAGGUUUUGGGGCUAUGGUAAGGUUUAAGUUUUUUGGCGUUAGGGUUAAAAUCACUGUCCAAAACCUUUGUAGGAACUCUUUUCCAACCUUUUGGAGUUAGUUAGAACAAAAAAUAUGAAAAAAGAAAAAAAUAUUAUUGGGGGUUUUCGGGGUUCCUGAAUGUAAUACCCGGGUAUUAGAUUUUGGGGCUAUGGUAAGGUUUAAGUUUUUUGGCGUUAGGGUUAAAAUCACUGUCCAAAACCUUUGUAGGAACUCUUUUCCAACCUUUUGGAGUUAGUUAGACCAAAAAUAAAGAAAAAGAAAAAAAUAUUAUUUGGGGUUUUCGGGCUUCCUGAAAGUAAUACCCGGGUAUUAGGUUUUGGGGCUAUGGUAAGGUUUAAGUUUUUUGGCGUUAGGGUUAAAAUCACUGUCCAAAACCUUUGUAGGAACUCUUUUCCAACCUUUUGGAGUUAGUUAGACCAAAAAAAAAUGAAAAAUGAAAAAAACAAUAUUUGGGGUUUUCGGGGUUCCUGAAUGUAAUACCCGGGUAUUAGAUUUUAAGGCUAGGGUAAGGUUUAAGUUUUUUGGCGUUAGGGUUAAAAUCACUGUCCAAAACCUUUGUAGGAACUCUUUUCCAACCUUUUGGAGUUAGUUAGACCAAAAAGUAUGAAAAAAGAAAAAAAUAUUAUUGGGGGUUUUCGGGCUCCCUGAAAGUAAUACCCGGGUAUUAGGUUUUGGGGCUAUGGUAAGGUUUAAGUUUUUUGGCGUUAGGGUUAAAAUCACUGUCCAAAACCUUUGUAGGAACUCUUUUCCAACCUUUUGGAGUUAGUUAGACCAAAAAAAAAUGAAAAAGAAAAAAAAAUAUUUGGGGUUUUCGGGGUUCCUGAAUGUAAUAUACGGGUAUUAGAUUUUAAGGCUAGGGUAAGGUUUAAGUUUUUUGGCGUUAGGGUUAAAAUCACUGUCCAAAACCUUUGUAGGAACUCUUUUCCAACCUUUUGGAGUUAGUUACACCAAAAAGUAUGAAAAAGGAAAAAAAUAUUAUUGGGGGUUUUCGGGCUCCCUGAAAGUAAUACCCGGGUAUUAGGUUUUGGGGCUAUGGUAAGGUUUAAGUUUUUUGGCGUUAGGGUUAAAAUCACUGUCCAAAACCUUUGUAGGAACUCUUUUCCAACCUUUUGGAGUUGGUUACACCAACAAAAAUGUAAAAUGAAGAAAAAAAUAUUUGGGGUGUUCGGGCUUCCUGAAGGUAAUACCCGGGUAUUAGAUUUUAAGGCUAGGGUAAGGUUUAAGUUUUUUGGCGUUAGGGUUAAAAUCACUGUCCAAAACCUUUGUAGGAACUCUUUUCCAACCUUUUGGAGUUAGUUAGACCAAAAAAUAUGAAAAAAGAAAAAAAUAUUAUUGGGGGUUUUCGGGCUCCUGAAAGUAAUACCCGGGUAUUAGGUUUUGGGGCUAUGGUAAGGUUUAAGUUUUUUGGCGUUAGGGUUAAAAUCACUGUCCAAAACCUUUGUAGGAACUCUUUUCCAACCUUUUGGAGUUAGUUAGACCAAAAAAUAUGAAAAUAGAAAAAAAUAUUAUUGGGGGUUUUCGGGCUCCCUGAAAGUAAUACC
Molecule: long non-coding RNA, 6152 nt
Filed under: Xyrichtys novacula (pearly razorfish)
Lineage: Eukaryota; Metazoa; Chordata; Actinopteri; Labriformes; Labridae
Source: RNAcentral